AAUUUUUCAAAUUCAAGGUAAGGGAAGGGGCAAUAAGGCAAAGCAAAGAAAUUAAAAAAAGAAAUGACACUAAAGAAAUCAGUAUUAUGAAUGAAUUAAACACAUUAAUGAAGAAAGAUGCUCUAUCAGAUGAUGAAGAAAUUAAAUUGAAAAGACUAAAGGAAGAAAUAGAUAAGGCAUAUAUUAACAUGGCUAAAGGGGCUUUUAUAAGGUCCAAAGCAAAAUGGCUAGAACUAUAUGGAAGAAAUCAUCAGAAUCCAACUAUUUUUAGACAUUGAAUUUAUAACACUGAAUUUUUAUCCUCCAAAUUUCCCUGCAAAAAUAUUCACCUGCAAAAAUUCACCUGCAAAAAAUUCAACUGCAAAAAUUCACCUGCAAAAAUUCACCUGCAAAAAUUCACCUGCAAAAUUUCAACUGCAAAAGUGAUGAACUUAAAUGACCCAAGCCAGAGCAAUCAGCACAAGAUCGAGUCGAGCGGCUCUCAGACAAUUAAAUUAUGCUGUUUGAUCACAUGACACCGUUAGCCAGCAGUGUGUCUCCUGAAAAGAGAGCUGUUUAGAGGUGAGUGAUUAAGUUUUUCUCCUAAAUAGGGAUCAUUACAGAACGCCUAGUCCUACUUAAAAUCCCAUUCAUUUUUCUUUUAUUUUAUCAUCUACUCGAACUGAGGAAAACGUUUGACUAACUCAAAGAAAAUUUCCGCGCCUCCCCUGCCUGUCUGCAGAGGCAGUUUUGAAUUUAGGAGCGGCAAGAUGGCAGCGGCAAACCCUGGCGGUUCUCCGAUUAUGCAAGAUGAAAUUAUUCAGUCAGCAAGACACUUGCUGCAGUUGCUGACAUCAUCCAACCGAACUGCUGCUGUGAUGAAUCAGAAUACAAGAGAACAGAGUCAAGGUGGCCAGGGUACCAGCUCGGUCAACCCUGAAAGACCAUCCGUUCAGCAAGAAAUGACCAGGUCUUUUCCUGGUAUUUUCUCAAGAGGAAAGGGGAAAAGGCGAUUCCCUGCUACAUCUCUGGUGCCUGCUAAGAAGCCUAAACCUCUUGAAGUGGUAUUUUAUUUGCUCCCAAAACAAAUGGAGAAGACCCCAAAUGAACAUGAAAAAUAUAUCCACACACAGGCAGGAAUGGGUCAAAGAACAGGACAUCUUGAUGAGAGCACAACACAUGAAGAGUUAAAGGAUGCCCUGAAUGAUUUGUUUCCCAAACUGAAGGAGGUAACAGGUGGCUGGCUGCUGUUCAAACCUGGGGGUGUGUAUGAAAUCUGCACUGUGUUAGGAUGCAUUGUCUAAAUUAAACUAGGAACUGAUCCUGCUGUUUAAUAAGUAUUUUUAGGACAAGUUCUGUUUCACUGCAUGUUGUGAAUUCCUAAUACAUAAAUAUAUCUUAAAAGAAAUACUUGUGUUCAUUACUUUAUUUUGGUGAUCUGACAGGGGAUACAGCUAUCGGACAAGGAGUAAUACGUUUUUUCUUAUCAACCUGCAUGGAGAAGCUGAUGUCUGGUUUUUGCAUCAAUUUUGGUUAGUUUGUUUUUGGUUGACGAUACCUAUGUUUGAUGAUCAUUAUAUUGUAUAACUUUUCAUAACUUAAUUAACUGUCAGGUUUUUUUGUGAAAACCUCUGUAUUGUGUGGAAGUAAUCUUUUUUUUUCUUUCUUUUCAUUUAUCUUAUAGCAAAC
Oreochromis niloticus (Nile tilapia) is the source of this 1668-nucleotide long non-coding RNA. The record is from Ensembl. Lineage: Eukaryota; Metazoa; Chordata; Actinopteri; Cichliformes; Cichlidae.